Molecule: ribosomal RNA, 459 nt
Filed under: uncultured bacterium
Lineage: Bacteria
Description: partial 16S ribosomal RNA
Rfam family: Bacterial small subunit ribosomal RNA
Source: RNAcentral
CCUACGGGAGGCAGCAGUGAGGAAUAUUGGUCAAUGGGCGCGAGCCUGAACCAGCCAAGUCGCGUGAGGGAAGACGGUCCUAUGGAUUGUAAACCUCUUUUGUCGGGGAGCAAAAGACGCCACGCGUGGCGUUCCGAGAGUACCCGAAGAACAAGCAUCGGCUAACUCCGUGCCAGCAGCCGCGGUAAUACGGAGGAUGCGAGCGUUCUCCGGAUUUAUUGGGUUGAAGGGGUGCGCAGGCGGAAGAUCAAGUCAGCGGUAAAAUUGAGAGGCUCAACCUCUUCGAGCCGUUGAAACUGGUGUUCUUGAGUGAGUGAGAAGUAUGCGGAAUGCGUGGUGUAGCGGUGAAAUGCAUAGAUAUCACGCAGAACUCCGAUUGCGAAGGCAGCAUACCGGCGCUCAACUGACGCUCAUGCACGAAAGUGUGGGUAUCGAACAGGAUUAGAUACCCUUGUAGUC